AUUGAACGCUGGCGGCAGGCCUAACACAUGCAAGUCGAGCGGCAGCACGGGAGCUUGCUCCUGAUGGCAAGCAACGGACGGGUGAGUAAUGCCUAGGAAUCUGCCUGUUAGUGGGGGAUAACUCGGGGAAACUCGAGCUAAUACCGCAUACGUCCUACGGGAGAAAGUGGGGGACCUUCGGGCCUCACGCUAACAGAUGAGCCUAGGUCGGAUUAGCUAGUUGGUGGGGUAAAGGCCUACCAAGGCGACGAUCCGUAGCUGGUCUGAGAGGAUGAUCAGCCACACUGGAACUGAGACACGGUCCAGACUCCUACGGGAGGCAGCAGUGGGGAAUAUUGGACAAUGGGCGCAAGCCUGAUCCAGCCAUGCCGCGUGUGUGAAGAAGGUCUUCGGAUUGUAAAGCACUUUAAGUUGGGAGGAAGGGCUGUUACCUAAUACGUGACAGUUUUGACGUUACCAACAGAAUAAGCACCGGCUAACUUCGUG
RNAcentral lists this ribosomal RNA (486 nucleotides) under uncultured bacterium. Its description in RNAcentral is "bacterial SSU rRNA". It matches the Rfam family "Bacterial small subunit ribosomal RNA", at positions 30 to 507 of the family's 1533-position model. The record is from RNAcentral.